RNAcentral lists this transfer RNA (74 nucleotides) under Gelidium coulteri. RNAcentral describes it as "tRNA-Thr". It matches the Rfam family "tRNA". Rfam says of the family: Transfer RNA (tRNA) molecules are approximately 80 nucleotides in length. Their secondary structure includes four short double-helical elements and three loops (D, anti-codon, and T loops). Further hydrogen bonds mediate the characteristic L-shaped molecular structure. tRNAs have two regions of fundamental functional importance: the anti-codon, which is responsible for specific mRNA codon recognition, and the 3' end, to which the tRNAs corresponding amino acid is attached (by aminoacyl-tRNA synthetases). tRNAs cope with the degeneracy of the genetic code in two manners: having more than one tRNA (with a specific anti-codon) for a particular amino acid; and 'wobble' base-pairing, i.e. permitting non-standard base-pairing at the 3rd anti-codon position. The record is from RNAcentral. Lineage: Eukaryota; Rhodophyta; Florideophyceae; Gelidiales; Gelidiaceae. RNAcentral also lists the same sequence under 4 other names.
GCUAGUAUAGCUCAAUUGGUAGAGCAGCUGAUUUGUAAUCAGCAGGUUGUGGGUUCAAGUCCCUCUACUAGCUA